Long non-coding RNA from Gasterosteus aculeatus aculeatus (three-spined stickleback), 2935 nucleotides. The record is from Ensembl. NCBI's taxonomy places the organism in Eukaryota, Metazoa, Chordata, Actinopteri, Perciformes, Gasterosteidae.
GCGCUGUGGCGCGCGGAGGCAAUCAAUAAAAAAUGCAAACGCCAUGAAAUUCAGUUCAAUACCGACGGCCGGAAAUGAAAAGUAUCGGUUGUGGCAGCGGCUCUCCGUUUCCUCUUCGCCCUGCGUCCCUAAUUACUCUCAUCACGCCUAUUUCAACGGCAGGGCCUGUGCUCCUCUUUGCCUUCUGUCCUGAUCAGAAUCAGAACCAGAAUGUGAAUCAGAACCAGAAUGUGAAUCAGAAUCUGAACCAGAAUGUGAAUCAGAACUAUUCUUUGGAUCCAUGGAAUUUGUCCCGGCAUUUUUUACCCAGACAGAUCAUCUCUACACAGAGAGUGUAUUUAAAUUGGAAUAUGCAGUAUGAAGGGAUGUGCAGGGGAGUGACCGGGUACCAGAAGAGGUCUGGAGGUCCACGGUUCUCCCCGUGUCUUCUCUCUCUUUCGGGACAUCAGAUCCACACCAGAAGACGCCGCCUCCUCACCUCACACCUCCUCCUCCUCCUCCUCCUCCCGCAGAGACACAGAACACUUGGCACGUGCAGCCAGUUGACCUCCCCCCCCCCCCUCCCACACGCCCUCCCGGUGGUACUUGGAAGACCUUCUCUCGCCCGCCCUCCCCCGGACGCUCUCCGAGGACUCAGACUCACAAGGCCGCGCCCCCCCCCCCCCCCCAGUGAGAACAGUGACACGGCUAAAAGCCGGACCUUGACUGGAGGUCUGAGAGAAAAAAAGAAAGCAGUGUUGAGGACAGAAGCCGUGUUCCUGCACGGAGACAAAGAGCUGACAGGAGAAUGAAGCAGCUCUCUGACUCCACGUUGUAGCUUGAAUACUUUAAUACGCUGAGGAUUGCUUGGUCUUCUUCCACUGAUUGAUAUUCACACUCAGACUCGACACACAAUGAAACUGUUCUAAACGGCUCAGUCAAUGUGCUUUCUUUGGGAUAUGAAAUACAUUCAUAACGUUUUUCUCUAUUUGAUGAAAUUAGAAGAAAAAAAAAUACUGUUUAGUUAUUUUGGAACUUUCCAUUCCAGACCUCAUAUCAAUACUUUAUGUUAUUGUGACAGGAAGGCCGCUCGACAAAAGCAAAUCAAUUCCUAAAAUAAUGUAAUAAUCAGCACAUGGACGAAAUAAGGAACGGUAUAAAUAAACCGUGCGUGUGUUGGUUUGCUGGACCGCUGAGGAGUCCGUCGACUCCGGAGAGGAGGAGGAAAACCUUUUAUGGGCUGAAUACGGAGGUAUUAUCUGAGUAAUGUUACAUCGUCGGUGCUGCAGGAAGUCAUCCGUUAUCUUGUCAUCGCGCUGCUGGGAUUCCACGAAGGGAAGUGGUGCGGAUGGUAAUGAAAACAGGACGGAUGUCCGACCGCUGUGAAUAAAAGCGUCUGCAAGUCAGCAUGACAGUUGUAUGAAGGCGCCGUUGCUAAGGAGGCGUUUAGGUAUAUUAACCCUGUAAAGUAGCCUCUUUAAAUUCAUGAGUUCACCCUCCCUUCGCCCGCCUCCCCCAAAAUCCGAUCCAAUCCAAACUGGCUGCAAUAGUCCCGUCCCUCCUCCACGGGUUCACUCUCACUUCGGCGUUUGUGUGGAAGAUAAUGUCUCCUGUCACAGGUGGACGUUUCCCAACCCACAAGUCUUAAAACCUGCACCCUUCCACGUAAUUCCUCCUGCUUCUCUACAUUCUCGCUCCGUCUCGUCCGAAUCCUCCUCGUCUCUCGUUACCCGGCGGGCGCCUUCGUCCCUCCGAUCGUGACCCGUUCGUCACGAAGGUCGCCGCUUGUUUGCGGACGAGAAAUAAUGAGAUACAACGGACAGCGGGAACAAUCAAGCGGACGCGCUGCUCCGGCUUCUGCAGCGAGCACCGCCGGAGGCCGCUCUUCUCUCGGCUAAUUACGGCGGCGUGACACCCGCGUGGGCAGCGGGGUCGUUAAUGCCGAGAGACCCCCGGGGUGCUGCUUCCUCUUAACCGUGCGUUAAUGAUACAAGCAAACAAACACUCAAAGCAAAGGACAACUUUUUUUUUAUGUACGUGCUGUAUGAAUCACCCACGGCAGCCAACAAUCGAGGCUUUUAAAACAAAAGGAAAAGGAAAAAACGGAAACUGCGUAGGAGAGAUAUAAAGAGGAAAUACGCAAAACACCCUGAGUGUGUGUGUGUGCGUGUGUGUGUGCGUGAGUCGGGAGGAGGAUCUAGGUGACCUUCGGGGAACAGGUGUUGGUGUCAGCAUUUACUCUGUCACGGCACAUUGAGCAGCAUUGUACAAACACGCGGCAGAGGGAGGCCUGAGGGGGCUGAGGGGGAUGAGGGGGCUGAGGGGGACGCUGGGAUGCGGAGAGGAAACAUGUGAUGGUGCAUCAAAAGGAUUUGUGGACCUCAUGGAGAUUCUCCUUCGAUACCACACAGACGUAGACACGCGCGCUCGCAGUGGAGAGAGUUUCUUCAACACCACUUCUGAUGAUUUUCUGUGAUUUUCUUUUGAUACUUUGAUGCUAUCUGAUGCUAUUUUGCACCGUCACAGUAGAUACAGUUGCUAUUUGGUCUCCGGCGCGGUCUUAAGGAGGUCAGCACAAGAAGGCGGUGCGAGCCUCAGGACCCGUCAGAUUUACCCUGUGACUCCUUUGGGGACCCCGACCCUCAUCUUGUGAUCUACUGGACUAAACAAUAAUUAGACAUUAAGUAGUUUAAACUACCACAGCUUCAACGGGACACGGUGCUCCAGAGAACUCCGACUAAAUCACCGAAAAGUCCCGAAAUCUGUGCGGCGUAUUCAGAAUACGUCAAACCCAUGAAGAUGGUUUGUUUGUGCGAUGGAAAAAAAACAACAACGCUGCAAUCCUUUACCGCCAGAAACCAACCGAUUACGCCUGUCAGAGCGCCAUCAGCCCACGUGUUGUGUGCACGGCGCCGGUUUGACAGGAGCGAAUCCUUUAAGUGCUUCGUCCGGCCGC